This 135-nucleotide non-coding RNA is filed under the name Lentilactobacillus farraginis. RNAcentral's name for it is "Lactobacillus farraginis TPP sequence". It matches the Rfam family "TPP riboswitch aptamer (THI element)". Rfam says of the family: Vitamin B(1) in its active form thiamin pyrophosphate (TPP) is an essential coenzyme that is synthesised by coupling of pyrimidine and thiazole moieties in bacteria. The previously detected thiamin-regulatory element, thi box was extended, resulting in a new, highly conserved RNA secondary structure, the THI element, which is widely distributed in eubacteria and also occurs in some archaea. Lineage: Bacteria; Bacillati; Bacillota; Bacilli; Lactobacillales; Lactobacillaceae. The record is from RNAcentral.
AUAUUUCGUCUGGGGUGCCUGAAUGCCCUUCUGGUUGGUUACGAUCAAUUAUGAAGCCAUUCGUCAAGGCUGAGAUUACACCCAUCGAACCUGAUACAGUUUGUACUGUCGAAGGAAGAGCGAACCGGAAAACUG